Grus americana (Whooping crane) is the source of this 1069-nucleotide long non-coding RNA. RefSeq lists it as uncharacterized. The record is from RefSeq and is a predicted model, not a curated record. The transcript has 3 exons. NCBI's taxonomy places the organism in Eukaryota, Metazoa, Chordata, Aves, Gruiformes, Gruidae.
UGGAGUUUCUGCCUCCUAACUUUGUAGUACAAACUGGUGAAUCAUCACAGAUCUUUCAGUGUUACCUUUAGGGAAACAGGGAACUACCUUCAAAAAUCUUCUAUUAUAGGCACCUAACAGUAAAGAUUGUAUUCAACCCGCUGGAACAUGUCCUCUCUUCUAUAAACGUCUUAAAGUUCAUUAGCGUAUCUUCGAUCCUUGUGGCAGACUUUGUUUGAGGAUAUCUGGGUCGCUAUUUUAUACUUACGGACUUCUAUUAAUCUUUUGUAAACAUUUGCGGUAAAGUUUCCCAGAACAUCUUCUAUGUAAGUACUAGUGUCUAAAUUUGAGUGUUCCGUGGAUCCUAAGCAGAGCUCGAACGUAAGGAGAACCAAAAAACUGAAAUUCUUCAAACCACAGUGCACUUUAUCAAGAAUUAAAUUGAUUUAUACACCAAUCUUUAGGAACCUUUAGCACAAGCUGGUUUAUUCUGCUUCAGAGAUUCGGAACAAAACUGUACUUUGCACUACUUUUUGUGAAGAACACUGUAAGCAUAAGUAAUAUUAAAACUGAAUAUGUGGUUAGAGUCGAGAAUAAACAAGGUCUGCAAGAGUUGAGACUGGUAUUUAAAACGUACAUUUGGGGUCAGGUAGAGUGGCAAGAAAGUGCCUUCCUGCUUGCUUCUAUUCUUGUGAGGUACCUGGUAAGUCAAAGAUGAACUGCACUAGGUAUACAGUAAACAAUAAUUAAUUUUCUUUUACUUCAGCAAAGCAUGUGUAUAAUAUCGUAUUUCAUUUUCACAUAGUAUGUCUUAGAUUAUGUUUUUGCAGGUUCUAGAAGAAGAUACAAAAUAAAGGAAUAUGUUGUUAAAGAAAUAACUGGAUAUUCAUAUUUUUAGAAAAUGAUACUGCAUGAGUUCAUUUAAAUACAAUUGAGAGACAGAUUGAAGACUGCAAGAACUGACCGGGUUCUAAACACAUGCAGUUAUCUGGGGUGCAAUAACAAUUCACUACCAGAGCUGUAUCUUUCCCUCACAGCAAAAAGACAGGGUAGUUCUGUGUUUGUACAAAGCUUUGAACUACCUUCUCGC